AGUGAACGCUGGCGGUAGGCCUAACACAUGCAAGUCGAACGGCAGCACAGUAAGAGCUUGCUCUUACGGGUGGCGAGUGGCGGACGGGUGAGGAAUACAUCGGAAUCUACUUUUUCGUGGGGGAUAACGUAGGGAAACUUACGCUAAUACCGCAUACGACCUACGGGUGAAAUCAGGGGAUCUUCGGACCUUGCGCGAUUGAAUGAGCCGAUGUCGGAUUAGUUAGUUGGCGGGGUAAAGGCCCACCAAGGCGGCGAUCCGUAGCUGGUCUGAGAGGAUGAUCAGCCACACUGGAACUGAGACACGGUCCAAACUCCUACGGGAGGCAGCAGUGGGGAAUAUUGGACAAUGGGCGCAAGCCUGAUCCAGCCAUACCGCGUGGGUGAAGAAGGCCUUCGGGUUGUAAAGCCCUUUUGUUGGGAAAGAAAAGCAGCAGGUUAAUACCCCGCUGUUCUGACGGUACCCUAAGAAUAAGCAACGGCUAACUUCGUG
Molecule: ribosomal RNA, 492 nt
Filed under: uncultured bacterium
Lineage: Bacteria
Description: partial 16S ribosomal RNA
Rfam family: Bacterial small subunit ribosomal RNA
Source: RNAcentral